This is a long non-coding RNA of Lagenorhynchus albirostris (white-beaked dolphin), 1027 nucleotides long. RefSeq lists it as uncharacterized. The record is from RefSeq and is a predicted model, not a curated record. The transcript is spliced from 4 exons. Lineage: Eukaryota; Metazoa; Chordata; Mammalia; Artiodactyla; Delphinidae.
UUUGCGUCACUGUCACCGACAAGGUGAGGACCUGCCAGUUCCUGUCUCUCUCCAGGAGAGGAGGAACAGACCACUUCCCAGGGGAAUCUGAGUCAGCUAAGUACAUGCUGCGACCGUUUGAUGGAAACACCAAGUGAUUUCUACUGGGGAAUCUCUGAGAAAUACUGUAAAGCCAUUACCUUCUUCGAACAGACCAUCUGUCUCCCGGUAUCACUGAAAACAGCCAUCGCUUAAAAGGCAACUCAGCCCAGCCUGGUCAGGUGCUAAUAAUCAAGGACAUGAGUUAAUAAGGCAAAAUAAUUAGAGGAUUAGUGUCAUGACCUACCUGAACCAAGGGACUCGAACGCAGGAAGCAGUGCCACUCGAGGACGUCAGGGCAGCGCUGACACCCUUUAAUAAGUCAAGGAUGCAGUGUCCAUCACAAACCUUUCCUGCUCUGAUUGCCUGAGAUUUAUGGGAUCCUGAUGAGUCACUAGGGACGUGAAAUCAUAACUAGAAGAAGCACCACCACCAAUGAAACAGCGUGUCACAGCUCAGCGUACGUGGUCGACCCUUCCUGACAACAUCUCAUAACCACAGAACAGAGGAGAUGCCUGUGUUAUCCCGACGUAAAUAUGGACCCCAGGAGAAACCAGCUCUUUGGACCCACGGGUGGAUGAGCAUCUGAAAUUAGGCUGUGAUGUUGUCUGAUUCUUGUGCCCCUCCCCUUGAAGGUGGGUGUGAUCUAACUCACUGUGACACGAGAGCGUCCAGCCGGUCCAUCAGGACGGUCUCCAGGGACAGGGUCCCGAGGAGGAGUCUUAAGGAAAGUGAUACGUGGUCUUCAGUGUCUUGAGUCUGAAGGGAAGCAGCCUCGAAGAAGGCACACGAGUACCUUGUGGCCUCUCCCGUUGUGGAGCACAGGCUCAGCGGCCAUGGCUCACGGGCCCAGCAGCUCUGCAGCAUGUGGGAUCUUCCUGGACCGGGGCACGAACCCAUGUCCCCUGCAUCGGCAGGUGGACUCUCAACCACUGCACCACCAGGGAAG